GAUGAACGCUGGCGGCGUGCCUAAUACAUGCAAGUCGAGCGAACGGACGAGAAGCUUGCUUCUCUGAUGUUAGCGGCGGACGGGUGAGUAACACGUGGAUAACCUACCUAUAAGACUGGGAUAACUUCGGGAAACCGUAGCUAAUACCGGAUAAUAUUUUGAACCGCAUGGUUCAAAAGUGAAAGACGGUCUUGCUGUCACUUAUAGAUGGAUCCGCGCUGCAUUAGCUAGUUGGUAAGGUAACGGCUUACCAAGGCAACGAUGCAUAGCCGACCUGAGAGGGUGAUCGGCCACACUGGAACUGAGACACGGUCCAGACUCCUACGGGAGGCAGCAGUAGGGAAUCUUCCGCAAUGGGCGAGAGCCUGACGGAGCAACGCCGCGUGAGUGAUGAAGGUCUUCGGAUCGUAAAACUCUGUUAUUAGGGAAGAACAUAUGUGUAAGUAACUGUGCACAUCUUGACGGUACCUAAUCAGAAAGCCACGGCUAACUACGUG
RNAcentral lists this ribosomal RNA (497 nucleotides) under uncultured bacterium. RNAcentral's name for it is "partial 16S ribosomal RNA". It matches the Rfam family "Bacterial small subunit ribosomal RNA", at positions 28 to 507 of the family's 1533-position model. The record is from RNAcentral.